GCCAGUGUGGCAUAGUGGUUUAGGUGCUGGACUAUGACUCUAGAGACCAGGGUUCAUUUCCCAGCUCAGCCA
Molecule: non-coding RNA, 72 nt
Organism: Phrynosoma platyrhinos (Desert horned lizard)
Lineage: Eukaryota; Metazoa; Chordata; Lepidosauria; Squamata; Phrynosomatidae
Source: the annotation of a GenBank genome assembly